UGAGGAAUUUUGGACAAUGGGCGAAAGCCUGAUCCAGCAAUGCCGCGUGUGUGAAGAAGGCCUUCGGGUUGUAAAGCACUUUUGUCCGGAAAGAAAUCCUUGGCUCUAAUACAGUCGGGGGAUGACGGUACCGGAAGAAUAAGCACCGGCUAACUACGUGCCAGCAGCCGCGGUAAUACGUAGGGUGCAAGCGUUAAUCGGAAUUACUGGGCGUAAAGCGUGCGCAGGCGGUUUGCUAAGACCGAUGUGAAAUCCCCGGGCUCAACCUGGGAACUGCAUUGGUGACUGGCAGGCUAGAGUAUGGCAGAGGGGGGUAGAAUUCCACGUGUAGCAGUGAAAUGCGUAGAGAUGUGGAGGAAUACCGAUGGCGAAGGCAGUCCCCUGGGCCAAUACUGACGCUCAUGCACGAAAGCGUGGGGAGCAAACAGGAUUAGAUACCCUGGUAGUCCAGCGCCCUAAACGAUGUCAACUAGUUGUUGGGAUUCAUUCCUUAGUAACGUAGCUAACGCGUGAAGUUGACCGCCUGGGGAGUACGGUCG
Molecule: ribosomal RNA, 539 nt
Filed under: uncultured bacterium
Lineage: Bacteria
Description: partial 16S ribosomal RNA
Rfam family: Bacterial small subunit ribosomal RNA
Source: RNAcentral